Molecule: ribosomal RNA, 259 nt
Filed under: uncultured bacterium
Lineage: Bacteria
Description: partial 16S ribosomal RNA
Rfam family: Bacterial small subunit ribosomal RNA
Source: RNAcentral
GAUGAACGCUGGCGGCGUGCCUAAUACAUGCAAGUCGAGCGGUAAGGCCCCUUCGGGGGUACACGAGCGGCGGACGGCUGAGUAACGACGUAGGAACGUACCCAACUGAGGCAUAAGCACCAGAAAUCGGUGUCUAAGUACCGCAUGUGACUCUUCGGAUUAAAGCGUUCGGCGGGUUUAGGACGGCCUGCGCAUGAUUAGCUUGUUGGUGAGGUAAUAGCUCACCAAGGCGAUGAUCAUUAGCUGGUCUGAGAGGAUG